Molecule: RNA transcript, 1797 nt
Organism: Populus nigra (black poplar)
Lineage: Eukaryota; Viridiplantae; Streptophyta; Magnoliopsida; Malpighiales; Salicaceae
Exons: 2
Source: RefSeq, a predicted model, not a curated record
CAAGACCAGGUCGAUAAUUCUCUCCAAGCAGUCCAUUUCCCUGUCCAAGCUCUAACAGAGAGAGAGAGAGUCAACUCUCUAAUGGACUCCAACAACAAUAACAACUACUCUCCCUCGUCCACCUCCUCCCCUCCCCACCCGACCAGCACCGGCACCACCAGCAUCAGCACCACCACUGACCCAGUUCAAUCCUGGUGGGAAUCAGUCUCCAAAGCCCGUUCACGCAUCCUCUCCCUCUCCUCAAUCCUCCCUUCACACCCUUCUUCCUCUUCCUUCUCCUUUUCCUCCCUAGCCGACUCCGACCGCCCUGCCAUUUCCUUUCUCUCUUCCCCAGAAGCUUACUCUCACAUCUCCUCCUCCCUUUCUUCUCCGCUUUCCGGCUCUGGCUCCGACCCCCUCUGCCAAUGGCUUUACGAAACUUACCUUUCCUCUGAUCCUAACCUCCGUCUCAUUGUCCUCUCUUUCCUUCCUCUUCUGUCUGGCAUUUAUCUCUCUCGGAUCCACUCUUCCGAUUCCUCUUCUGCUCCUUCCCUUGCUGGCUUCGAAGCUGUUCUUCUUGCCAUCUAUUCGUCCGAGGUUAAAUCUCGUGGCGGAAAGCCUGUGAUUGUCCAAAUUCCUCAUCUUUCUCACCCUUCUCUUUAUCAUAUCCCGCGAAACAAGCCGCAUAAAUCGCAGGUUCAGGCUCCUUCUACUGGGGUUCUGUCCCCCCCACUUGAGCCCCAGAUCGCUAUUAAGUCUACAAAAAGGCCUGUCAUUGUUGGGGUCGCUUUGGACUGUUACUUCAAACACAUCUCACAGAUGCCCAGUUGGUCUAAAGUCGAAUUGUGCCGGUUUGCGGCCGCCUGGGCUGGACAGGAUUGUGCUUGCCAAGAUAAAUUUGAUGAAUUUGAUGAUGCUGAUUAUUUCUUGGAGGGAAGGAAUGUAAUGAUAAGCAGUAAUGGGAUUGAAGACAGCUCGGGGAUCUCUGCGUCUGAGCCUAAGGGAGUAAGGAUUCCUCUGCCUUGGGAGAUUUUGCAGCCAUUGUUGAGGAUUUUAGGGCAUUGUUUGUUGGGGCCAUUGAAUACACAAGAUGCUAAGGAUGCUGCUUCUGUUGCUGUAAGAAGGUUGUAUGCUAGAGGGUCUCAUGAUUUGGUUCCACAGGCGAUUUUAGCGACCAGGAGUCUAAUUCAGCUUGAUAAGAGAACGCGUGAAACUGAAAAGGCAACAGCUGCAAAUACUUCUUCAAAUGCUAACACCCCCGCCAAAGCUAAGAAGCCUGAAAUUCUCCUAGUCUCAAAGUGAAAGUGGUUUGUUUUGGCUGCGGUUGGCGUGGCGGGUAACCUCUAGGUUUAAAUCAUUAAUUUUAUUAAUGCUUCAUAAUACCUACUUUAAAUCUGUCAUAGCUCUUUGCAAUGGAUCUUACAGAACAUGCUCAUCUAUGGCAUGUUUCUUGGGUACCUGUGACUAUGAGUUGCAGCUGGAUUCCUCCAACAAGGGUUUUGUACCUUCUGAGGUGAAAAUGCUCGACAUUCAAAACAGCAAGAGAAUGGCAUCGAACAGCUAGAGAUGCUUAUGUUUAGAGGCGUACCAUUUCAAGAAAGAUGAAUACCAUGAUCAUUAUUCUGUAAACAAAUCUGUGUUUGGUAUAUAUGUGGUCUUCUAUUUAAUGAGUGCUGUUGUUACUUUGUUGAAGGUAUGCAAAUAGUGAGGAGGACAUGCUUGGCGUUGUUGUUGUUGUGUUGUAUACAGGGUUUAUGAAUUCCAAGGCUUGCGAGCCAUAGUUGCCACCUUUUAUCUAAGUUUCUGCGAUUUGAUUUC